This 373-nucleotide ribosomal RNA is filed under the name uncultured Glomeromycotina. Its description in RNAcentral is "SSU rRNA". It matches the Rfam family "Eukaryotic small subunit ribosomal RNA", at positions 670 to 1045 of the family's 1831-position model. Lineage: Eukaryota; Fungi; Glomeromycota. The record is from RNAcentral.
UCGGUAUGUACUGGCUUUACUGAUUCCUCCUUCUUGACGAACCGUGAUGUCAUUAAUUUGGUGUUGCGGGAAAUCAGGACUGUUACUUUGAAAAAAUUAGAGUGUUUAAAACAGGCUAACGCUUGAAUACAUUAGCAUGGAAUAAUGAAAUAGGACGUUAAUCCUAUUUUGUUGGUUUCUAGGAUCGACGUAAUGAUUAAUAGGGAUAGUUGGGGGCAUUAGUAUUCAAUUGUCAGAGGUGAAAUUCUUGGAUUUAUUGAAGACUAACUACGGCGAAAGCAUUUGCCAAGGAUGUUUUCAUUAAUCAAGAACGAAAGUUAGGGGAUCGAAGACGAUCAGAUACCGUCGUAGUCUUAACCAUAAACUAUGCCGA